CCUACGGGCGGCUGCAGUCGGGAAUAUUGCGCAAUGGAGGAAACUCUGACGCAGUGACGCCGCGUGCAGGAAGAAGGUUUUCGGAUUGUAAACUGCUUUAGACAGGGAAGAAAAAAGACAGUACCUGUAGAAUAAGCUCCGGCUAACUACGUGCCAGCAGCCGCGGUAAUACGUAGGGAGCAAGCGUUAUCCGGAUUUAUUGGGUGUAAAGGGCGUGCAGCCGGGAAGACAAGUCAGAUGUGAAAUCCCGCGGCUCAACCGCGGAACUGCAUUUGAAACUGUUUUUCUUGAGUACCGGAGAGGUCAUCGGAAUUCCUUGUGUAGCGGUGAAAUGCGUAGAUAUAAGGAAGAACACCAGUGGCGAAGGCGGAUGACUGGACGGCAACUGACGGUGAGGCGCGAAAGCGUGGGGAGCAAACAGGAUUAGAUACCCCUGUAGUC
Molecule: ribosomal RNA, 441 nt
Filed under: uncultured bacterium
Lineage: Bacteria
Description: partial 16S ribosomal RNA
Rfam family: Bacterial small subunit ribosomal RNA
Source: RNAcentral